CAUAGGUUUGGUCCCAGCCUUAUUAUUAGUUAUCAGUAAGAUUACACAUGCAAGUAACCGCACACCAGUGAGAAUGCCCUCUAGAUCUUAUUGAUCAACAGGAGCAGGCAUCAAGCACGCCAGCCGGCAGCUCACCACGCCUUGCUAAACCACACCCCCACGGGAUACAGCAGUGACAAAACUUAAGCAAUAAACGAAAGUUUGACUAAGCUAUACUGACAAAUUAGGGCUGGUCAAUUUCGUGCCAGCCACCGCGGUCAUACGAUUAACCCAAACUAAUAAAACACGGCGUAAAGUGUGUUUAAGACACCCAACAAUAAAGUUAAAUUUUAACCAAGUUGUAGAACACUUCAGCUAAAACAAAAAUAACCCACGAAAGUGACUUUAAUAUCCUGAAAACACGACAGCCAAGACCCAAACUGGGAUUAGAUACCCCACUAUGCCUGGCCAUAAACAUAAGUAAUUCCUGAACAAUCUUACUCGCCAGAGAACUACAAGCAACAGCUUAAAACUCAAAGGACUUGGCGGUGCUUUACACCCCUCUAGAGGAGCCUGUUCUAUAAUCGAUAAACCCCGAUAUACCUUACCAUCCCUUGCUAAUUCAAUCUAUAUACCGCCAUCCUCAGCAAACCCUAUCAAGGUAAUAAAGUAAGCACAAGCAUUUGACAUAAAAACGUUAGGUCAAGGUGUAGUCUAUGAGAUGGAAAGAAAUGGGCUACAUUUUCUUAUAACAGAAUAACAUUUUACAGCAACCUUUAUGAAACAAAAGGUCAAAGGAGGAUUUAGUAGUAAGUUAAGAAUAGAGAGCUUAACUGAAUGAGGCCAUAAAGCACGCACACACCGCCCGUCACCCUCCUCAACUCUCAAUUACUAAUACUUUAAUAACAAAAUGUCCUAACUACAAGAGGAGAUAAGUCGUAACAAGGUAAGCAUACUGGAAAGUGUGCUUGGAACACU
Molecule: non-coding RNA, 957 nt
Filed under: Cheirogaleus crossleyi (Crossley's dwarf lemur)
Lineage: Eukaryota; Metazoa; Chordata; Mammalia; Primates; Cheirogaleidae
Description: 12S ribosomal RNA
Rfam family: Bacterial small subunit ribosomal RNA
Source: RNAcentral